Molecule: ribosomal RNA, 433 nt
Filed under: uncultured bacterium
Lineage: Bacteria
Description: partial 16S ribosomal RNA
Rfam family: Bacterial small subunit ribosomal RNA
Source: RNAcentral
AGCGAACGCUGGCGGCAGGCCUAACACAUGCAAGUCGAACGAACCUUUCGGGGUUAGUGGCGGACGGGUGAGUAACACGUGGGAACGUGCCUUUAGGUUCGGAAUAACUCAGGGAAACUUGUGCUAAUACCAAUGUGCCCUUCGGGGGAAAGAUCUAUCGCCUUUAGAGCGGCCCGCGUCUGAUUAGCUAGUUGGUUGAGGUAAUGGCUCACCAAGGCGACGAUCAGUAGCUGGUCUGAGAGGAUGAUCAGCCACAUUGGGACUGAGACACGGCCCAAACUCCUACGGGAGGCAGCAGUGGGGAAUCUUGCGCAAUGGGCGAAAGCCUGACGCAGCCAUGCCGCGUGAAUGAUGAAGGUCUUAGGAUUGUAAAAUUCUUUCACCGGGGACGAUAAUGACGGUACCCGGAGAAGAAGCCCCGGCUAACUUCGUG